AAAUUUGAAAUUUAAACUUUUUGAAAUUUGAAAUUUGAACUUUUUGAAAUUUGAAAUUUAAAAUCAAAAUUAAAAUUAAAUUUUAAAAUUUUAAAAUUUUUAUAUUGAAAUUUAAAAUUUAGAAAUUGAUACAUCUUUAGGAGCCCAAAAUGGUGGAAUUUUUUUCAUUUGGUUAAAGUGGAUUAUAAGUUUAUUCCAUUUUUUGGAGUAUAGUAUAACUAUACUCUAAAAAUUACGCCAUUUUUUUUUCUUCCAAACGUUUCAUAGGAUUAUUUUCCUACCGGCGUAGUAUAGUUUAACUAUGCUACGUUUUUAGAGGUAUCCAAACGGGCCUAAUUGUGUAGUAGGAUAAUUAGUUUUAUUCAUAUUGUAAUUAAUAAUUAGUUUAACUUUUCAAAUUACAAACACUACUCCUAACAAGAUGUUAACACGCACAAGCUACUGUAUUCUGAAAUUAAAUUUGAAGAAUAUGCUACAUUACUAUUAAACUAUGUUCAUGAUAUAAAAAUAGUAAUGUUUAUUUUUCAUUCAUAGAUUAAUAUGAUAAUAUAGGAUCAAAUUCAAUUACUAAGGGCCUGUUUGUUUCAACGUAAGUAAAAUUUAGAUUGAAGUAGAUUUUAGGUUGAACGAAAGUUCAGGUGAUAAUUACUUCACCUCCACUGUUUAUUCUUAUAACUGCGAAAGUGAAAAGUUAUGUUAAUUCAGCUAUUUGUUUGGCGGAAAGUGAAUAGCGUAAAAAGAACAGCUCCAUACUUUCUCUAUUUGUUUUACCGAAAAUUGUUAAAUCCCCACACGAGUGUAAACUUACCUCGAUCCUACAUUAUAUUAUUGCAUAUUAUAUAACUUAAUAAAUAAUAAAUUAUAAUAUAAUAAAUAAAAAUAAUAAAAAUAAAAUUUAAAAUAAUUAUAUUAAUUUUUCUGGAUAUAAAUUAUAAUAAUGCAUUAAUAAAAUAUUAAAAUUAAAUAAAUAUUAACAUUCAACAAAUUAUUUUUUAUCAUAUUUUAAAUGCGCAAAUUAAACGGUAAGUAUUUGGCAUGCCCUUUUAAUUUAUUUAGGAAGUUUGUAAUAUUUGGAAGGUAAGGAAUUUGAUCAGAUAUUUAGAACAAAAUACUAUAUUCAAUCUUCUGGUUAUUAUUUUGGGAAUA
This 1146-nucleotide long non-coding RNA is filed under the name Ananas comosus (pineapple). Its description in RNAcentral is "long non-coding RNA (ACOM_LNC035983)". The record is from RNAcentral. Lineage: Eukaryota; Viridiplantae; Streptophyta; Magnoliopsida; Poales; Bromeliaceae.